Molecule: ribosomal RNA, 193 nt
Filed under: uncultured Bacteroidota bacterium
Lineage: Bacteria; Pseudomonadati; Bacteroidota
Description: uncultured Bacteroidetes bacterium partial 16S ribosomal RNA
Rfam family: Bacterial small subunit ribosomal RNA
Source: RNAcentral
CUCCUACGGGAGGCAGCAGGAGGGAAUAUUGGUCAAUGGAGGCAACUCUGAACCAGCCAUGCCGCGUGCAGGAUGACGGCCCUCUGGGUUGUAAACUGCUUUUAUACGGGAAGAAAAAAUACUACGUGUAGUAUAUUGACGGUACCGUAAGAAUAAGGAUCGGCUAACUCCGUGCCAGCAGCCGCGGUAAUAU